CUACGGGUGGCUCCAGUGAGGAAUAUUGCACAAUGGGGGGAACCCUGAUGCAGCAACGCCGCGUGGAGGAUGACGCAUUUCGGUGUGUAAACUCCUUUUAUAUGUCAAGAAAAUGACGGUAGCAUAUGAAUAAGCACCGGCUAACUCCGUGCCAGCAGCCGCGGUAAUACGCAGGGUGCAAGCGUUACUCGGAAUCACUGGGCGUAAAGGACGCGUAGGCGGGUUGGAAAGUCAGGUGUGAAAUCCUACAGCUUAACUGUAGAACUGCACUUGAAACUUCUAUCUAGAGUAUGGGAGGGGGAGAUGGAAUUAGUGGUGUUGGGGUAAAAUCCGUAGAUAUCACUAGGAAUACCUAAAGCGAAGGCGAUCUCCUGGAACAUUACUGACGCUAAGGCGUGAAAGCGUGGGGAGCAAACAGGAUUAGAUACCCCAGUAGUC
Molecule: ribosomal RNA, 438 nt
Filed under: uncultured bacterium
Lineage: Bacteria
Description: partial 16S ribosomal RNA
Rfam family: Bacterial small subunit ribosomal RNA
Source: RNAcentral